RNAcentral lists this non-coding RNA (95 nucleotides) under Nakamurella multipartita. Its description in RNAcentral is "TPP sequence". It matches the Rfam family "TPP riboswitch aptamer (THI element)". Rfam says of the family: Vitamin B(1) in its active form thiamin pyrophosphate (TPP) is an essential coenzyme that is synthesised by coupling of pyrimidine and thiazole moieties in bacteria. The previously detected thiamin-regulatory element, thi box was extended, resulting in a new, highly conserved RNA secondary structure, the THI element, which is widely distributed in eubacteria and also occurs in some archaea. Lineage: Bacteria; Bacillati; Actinomycetota; Actinomycetes; Nakamurellales; Nakamurellaceae. RNAcentral also lists the same sequence under 1 other name. The record is from RNAcentral.
GCUCUCGACACGGGGUGCCCCCACCGGGGCUGAGAGAAAACCCGUUGAACCUGAUCUAGUUCGUACUAGCGAAGGGAUUGUCGCUUCCAUGCGCA